UACGUAGGGGGCAAGCGUUAUCCGGAUUUACUGGGUGUAAAGGGAGCGUAGACGGCUUUGCAAGCCAGAUGUGAGAGCCCGGGGCUCAACCCCGGGACUGCAUUUGGAACUGUGUGGCUAGAGUGUCGGAGAGGCAGGCGGAAUUCCUAGUGUAGCGGUGAAAUGCGUAGAUAUUAGGAGGAACACCAGUGGCGAAGGCGGCCUGCUGGACGAUGACUGACGUUGAGGCUCGAAAGCGUGGGGAGCAAACAGG
RNAcentral lists this ribosomal RNA (253 nucleotides) under uncultured bacterium. RNAcentral's name for it is "partial 16S ribosomal RNA". It matches the Rfam family "Bacterial small subunit ribosomal RNA", at positions 524 to 776 of the family's 1533-position model. The record is from RNAcentral.